Larimichthys crocea (large yellow croaker) is the source of this 469-nucleotide long non-coding RNA. RefSeq lists it as uncharacterized. The record is from RefSeq and is a predicted model, not a curated record. Lineage: Eukaryota; Metazoa; Chordata; Actinopteri; Sciaenidae. The transcript has 4 exons.
CUCCGGUGUUUUGGAUUACCGGGAAGAAGAAGAACAGGUUUCCAGGCCCCGGGGGAAUACUGACGUGGAGCCGGGCCGGUUAACGGUCACGUUAACUGGCUACCGUUAGCCGACAGCAGAGAGACAGGAUGACGCACAGCAAAUGACUUCAGGCUGCUAUAUCAAGGCCUGUGUCUUUAUACAUUGAGCACACGCUCUACCAGGCAGUUCUGUGGAUGGAUGAGUCUUGGAGAUCCUGACUUCAGAGUAUAUGGUAUCAGUCGGUGAGGAAACUGCAACACCAAACACAAAACCGCUGAUGGAAGUGCUGCGCGUGAACACAGUUCUGUGCUGCAGGAAAGACUGGACAGGAAAAGUUGAUGGAGAAAGACAGCGUGUGACUUUUCUGUGCUGAGAGAACACGUUAACUAAUGUGGAAAUACAAGGAUGUGAUCAAACAAAUGGGAAUAAAUAGUCUCAUGAAGCUGCA